Molecule: ribosomal RNA, 232 nt
Filed under: uncultured Lactobacillus sp.
Lineage: Bacteria; Bacillati; Bacillota; Bacilli; Lactobacillales; Lactobacillaceae
Description: partial 16S ribosomal RNA
Rfam family: Bacterial small subunit ribosomal RNA
Source: RNAcentral
CCCAAGAGAUCGGGAUAACACCUGGAAACAGAUGCUAAUACCGGAUAACAACAGAUGAUGCCUAUCAACUGUUUAAAAGAUGGUUCUGCUAUCACUCUUGGAUGGACCUACGGUGCAUUAGCUAGUUGGUAGGGUAACGGCCUACCAAGGCGAUGAUGCAUAGCCGAGUUGAGAGACUGAUCGGCCACAUUGGGACUGAGACACGGCCCAACUCCUACGGGAGGCAGCAGGU